AUCGACGACGGUGUUGUCCCCCGUCGGAGUUACACUAGACGGUCCAAUUUCUCAGCUGGGUUGAAUCGACCCCGACGAUCAUCUGCACGUGAAGGAGAGUUGCUUGAGAAGAUGACUCAGAUGGAGGAGAGUAUGACGCAAUAUAAGCAACAAGUGCAGCAACAGAUGCAACAAAUGCAAAAUUGGAUGCUACGUCAGAUGUACGGAGGUGCCGGAACUCAGUUCGGCAUGCCGCCUUAUCAACAACCCCCUAUCAUCACACAUCCGGUGUCUGGACAAUCAUCGGAUCGCUCCCCUGCAGCGGCGGAUGGAUCACAGGGUUCUGCAACUUCUGUCCAAGACCAAUUGAUGCCAUCAGGUGUGAUAGGAGGGCAAAUGAUGUCGUGGGCACCUCGCUAGCCAGACAUUUGGCCACCGAUGCAAACACAGAUGCCAUCGCCGAUGCCGUGGGGAUUUCCUCCUAGCGGGCAGUCACACUCACCAUGAUUGCCCUCACACUCACUAGGAUCAGGUUCGGGCUCACAUCAUGCUAGUCCGCCUCCAGAUCAGAGCACGUUUAUGGACUUAUUGAUGAACACAAGUGGCGACGGCUCCAAUGACCCACCAACGGAAUGAAUUAAUAUGGAGGCUUGUGUGGAACUUACUAUCAUUGCGUUUUGUAUGGACUUGAACUUGUUUCAGAUGGAUUUGAACUUCUU
Molecule: long non-coding RNA, 698 nt
Organism: Zea mays
Lineage: Eukaryota; Viridiplantae; Streptophyta; Magnoliopsida; Poales; Poaceae
Exons: 4
Source: RefSeq, a predicted model, not a curated record